RNAcentral lists this ribosomal RNA (301 nucleotides) under uncultured bacterium. RNAcentral describes it as "partial 16S ribosomal RNA". It matches the Rfam family "Bacterial small subunit ribosomal RNA", at positions 509 to 807 of the family's 1533-position model. The record is from RNAcentral.
CAGCCGCCGCGGGAAUACGGAGGGUGCGAGCGUUAAUCGGAAUAACUGGGCGUAAAGCGUGCGCAGGCGGUUCGCUAAGACAGAUGCGAAACCCCCGGGCUUAACCUGGGAACUGCAUUUGUGACUGGCGGGCUAGAGUAUGGCAGAGGGGGGUAGAAUUCCACGUGUAGCAGUGAAAUGCGUAGAGAUGUGGAGGAAUACCGAUGGCGAAGGCAGCCCCCUGGGCCAAUACUGACGCUCAUGCACGAAAGCGUGGGGAGCGAACAGGAUUAGAUACCCCCGUAGUCCCUGUCUCUUAUAC